This 500-nucleotide ribosomal RNA is filed under the name uncultured bacterium. Its description in RNAcentral is "partial 16S ribosomal RNA". It matches the Rfam family "Bacterial small subunit ribosomal RNA", at positions 30 to 523 of the family's 1533-position model. The record is from RNAcentral.
AUUGAACGCUGGCGGAAUGCUUUACACAUGCAAGUCGAACGGCAGCACGGACUUCGGUCUGGUGGCGAGUGGCGAACGGGUGAGUAAUGUAUCGGAACGUGCCCAGUCGUGGGGGAUAACGUAGUGAAAAUUACGCUAAUACCGCAUACGAUCUAUGGAUGAAAGCGGGGGAUCGCAAGACCUCGCGCGAUUGGAGCGGCCGAUAUCAGAUUAGGUAGUUGGUGGGGUAAAGGUCCACCAAGCCAACGAUCUGUAGCUGGUCUGAGAGGACGACCAGCCACGCUGGAACUGAGACACGGUCCAGACUCCUACGGGAGGCAGCAGUGAGGAAUUUUGGACAAUGGGCGAAAGCCUGAUCCAGCCAUUCCGCGUGCAGGAUGAAGGCCCUCGGGUUGUAAACUGCUUUUGUACAGAACGAAAAGGUUUCUACUAAUACUAGGAGCUCAUGACGGUACUGUAAGAAUAAGCACCGGCUAACUACGUGCCAGCCGCCGCAGUAA